UGUUACAAUGGGGGGUACGAGAGGGCCGCUACCACGCGAGUGGAUGCCAAUCCCCAAAACCUCUCUCAGUUCGGACUGGAGUCUGCAACCCGACUCCACGAAGCUGGAUUCGCUAGUAAUCGCGCAUCAGCCACGGCGCGGUGAAUACGUUCCCGGGCCUUGUACACACCGCCCGUCAAGCCAUGGGGAGCCGGGGGGUACCUGAAGUGCGUAACCGCGAGGAGCGCCCUAGGGUAAAACUGGUNACUGGGGGCUAAGUCGUAACAAGGUAUC
RNAcentral lists this ribosomal RNA (273 nucleotides) under uncultured bacterium. RNAcentral describes it as "partial 16S ribosomal RNA". It matches the Rfam family "Bacterial small subunit ribosomal RNA", at positions 1223 to 1500 of the family's 1533-position model. The record is from RNAcentral.